RNAcentral lists this ribosomal RNA (175 nucleotides) under Klebsiella pneumoniae. RNAcentral's name for it is "partial 23S ribosomal RNA". It matches the Rfam family "Bacterial large subunit ribosomal RNA", at positions 2768 to 2925 of the family's 2925-position model. The record is from RNAcentral. Lineage: Bacteria; Pseudomonadati; Pseudomonadota; Gammaproteobacteria; Enterobacterales; Enterobacteriaceae.
GUGCUGAAAGCAUCUAAGCACGAAACUUGCCCCGAGAUGAGUUCUCCCUGAGACUUUAAGUCUCCUGAAGGAACGUUGAAGACGAUGACGUUGAUAGGCCGGGUGUGUAAGCGCAGCGAUGCGUUGAGCUAACCGGUACUAAUGAACCGUGAGGCUUAACCUUACAACGCCGAAG